This is a long non-coding RNA of Mustela erminea (ermine), 345 nucleotides long. RefSeq lists it as uncharacterized. The transcript is spliced from 4 exons. NCBI's taxonomy places the organism in Eukaryota, Metazoa, Chordata, Mammalia, Carnivora, Mustelidae. The record is from RefSeq and is a predicted model, not a curated record.
CACUUAUCACGAUAGGCGUCCUGGUUUCUGAUCUCUGUUUGGGCACUAAAUAGCAGCAUGAUCUCAAUCAUGUAAUUAUUCCAGAGUUGUGUUAUUUUGAAGAUUAGAAGCUUCCUAUUCAAGGGCUUGCCUUCAAAAAUUCAUAAGUGAAACAUGAAUCCCCUGAGUGUGGAGUGGACGGACCUAACAGACAUGGUCAUCUUCCCAAAUGCAUCUUCACCUGCCAAGUGGACAGACAUUAUGAUCUUUAAAAAACAUGCAAGAAAACAUGAUAAUUUGAAUUCUGAAUUCAUGGAAUUGGACUUAGAAAACAAUUGGGUUUUGGAGCUUGUAGCAGUAGAAUCA